AGUGAACGCUGGCGGUAGGCCUAACACAUGCAAGUCGAACGGCAGCACAGUAAGAGCUUGCUCUUACGGGUGGCGAGUGGCGGACGGGUGAGGAAUACAUCGGAAUCUACUUUUUCGUGGGGGAUAACGUAGGGAAACUUACGCUAAUACCGCAUACGACCUACGGGUGAAAGCAGGGGAUCUUCGGACCUUGCGCGAUUGAAUGAGCCGAUGUCGGAUUAGCUAGUUGGCGGGGUAAAGGCCCACCAAGGCGACGAUCCGUAUCUGGUCUGAGAGGAUGAUCAGCCACACUGGAACUGAGACACGGUCCAGACUCCUACGGGAGGCAGCAGUGGGGAAUAUUGGACAAUGGGCGCAAGCCUGAUCCAGCCAUGCCGCGUGGGUGAAGAAGGCCUUCGGGUUGUAAAGCCCUUUUGUUGGGAAAGAAAAGCAGCAGGUUAAUACCCCGCUGUUCUGACGGUACCCAAAGAAUAAGCACCGGCUAACUUCGU
This 491-nucleotide ribosomal RNA is filed under the name uncultured bacterium. RNAcentral describes it as "partial 16S ribosomal RNA". It matches the Rfam family "Bacterial small subunit ribosomal RNA", at positions 29 to 506 of the family's 1533-position model. The record is from RNAcentral.